Molecule: microRNA precursor, 84 nt
Organism: Vicugna pacos (alpaca)
Lineage: Eukaryota; Metazoa; Chordata; Mammalia; Artiodactyla; Camelidae
Source: Ensembl
GAAUGAACACAGGUCAAGGUUCACAGGGGAUCAAGAACAAUUAUUCUUGUAUAAUCUGUUUACUUUGACCUAAAAUAUCAGCUU